RNAcentral lists this ribosomal RNA (622 nucleotides) under Nocardioides sp. Ri2Ps_4933. RNAcentral describes it as "bacterial SSU rRNA". It matches the Rfam family "Bacterial small subunit ribosomal RNA", at positions 391 to 1011 of the family's 1533-position model. The record is from RNAcentral. Lineage: Bacteria; Bacillati; Actinomycetota; Actinomycetes; Propionibacteriales; Nocardioidaceae.
GCAACGCCGCGUGAGGGAUGACGGCCUAUCGGGUUGUAAACCUCUUUCAGCUCCGACGAAGCGCCUAUUAAAGGUUGUGACGGUAGGUGCAGAAGAAGGACCGGCCAACUACGUGCCAGCAGCCGCGGUAAUACGUAGGGUCCGAGCGUUGUCCGGAAUUAUUGGGCGUAAAGGGCUCGUAGGCGGUUUGUCGCGUCGGGAGUGAAAUUCCACAGCUUAACUGUGGACUUGCUUCCGAUACGGGCAGACUUGAGGUAUUCAGGGGAGAACGGAAUUCCUGGUGUAGCGGUGAAAUGCGCAGAUAUCAGGAGGAACACCGGUGGCGAAGGCGGUUCUCUGGGAAUAUCCUGACGCUGAGGAGCGAAAGUGUGGGGAGCGAACAGGAUUAGAUACCCUGGUAGUCCACACCGUAAACGUUGGGCGCUAGGUGUGGGAUCCAUUCCACGGGUUCCGUGCCGCAGCUAACGCAUUAAGCGCCCCGCCUGGGGAGUACGGCCGCAAGGCUAAAACUCAAAGGAAUUGACGGGGGCCCGCACAAGCGGCGGAGCAUGCGGAUUAAUUCGAUGCAACGCGAAGAACCUUACCUGGGUUUGACAUAUGCCGGAAAGCUCUAGAGAUAGAG